Molecule: ribosomal RNA, 194 nt
Filed under: uncultured bacterium
Lineage: Bacteria
Description: partial 16S ribosomal RNA
Rfam family: Bacterial small subunit ribosomal RNA
Source: RNAcentral
CCUACGGGAGGCAGCAGUGGGGAAUUUUGGACAAUGGGCGAAAGCCUGAUCCAGCAAUGCCGCGUGCANGAUGAAGGCCUUCGGGUUGUAAAUUGCUUUUGUACGGAACGAAAAAGCUUCUCCUAAUACGAGAGGCCCAUGACGGUACCGUAAGAAUAAGCACCGGCUAACUACGUGCCAGCAGCCGCGGUAAU